RNAcentral lists this ribosomal RNA (512 nucleotides) under Alternaria tenuissima. RNAcentral describes it as "eukaryotic LSU rRNA". The stretch from base 148 to 301 matches the Rfam family "5.8S ribosomal RNA". Lineage: Eukaryota; Fungi; Ascomycota; Dothideomycetes; Pleosporales; Pleosporaceae. The record is from RNAcentral.
GCUGGACCUCUCGGGGUUACAGCCUUGCUGAAUUAUUCACCCUUGUCUUUUGCGUACUUCUUGUUUCCUUGGUGGGUUCGCCCACCACUAGGACAAACAUAAACCUUUUGUAAUUGCAAUCAGCGUCAGUAACAAAUUAAUAAUUACAACUUUCAACAACGGAUCUCUUGGUUCUGGCAUCGAUGAAGAACGCAGCGAAAUGCGAUAAGUAGUGUGAAUUGCAGAAUUCAGUGAAUCAUCGAAUCUUUGAACGCACAUUGCGCCCUUUGGUAUUCCAAAGGGCAUGCCUGUUCGAGCGUCAUUUGUACCCUCAAGCUUUGCUUGGUGUUGGGCGUCUUGUCUCUAGCUUUGCUGGAGACUCGCCUUAAAGUAAUUGGCAGCCGGCCUACUGGUUUCGGAGCGCAGCACAAGUCGCACUCUCUAUCAGCAAAGGUCUAGCAUCCAUUAAGCCUUUUUUCAACUUUUGACCUCGGAUCAGGUAGGGAUACCCGCUGAACUUAAGCAUAUCAUAA